UUUUUAUCUUUGAUCCAAACACCAACACAAAUUUUGCAACAAUAAAAGUGACUUAUAUUAUAGGAAAAACUUCAAAUACCACUCCCGUGAUUUUAUUCUUUCUCACUUUAGUACCAUAUUGUUUAAGAUAUAUCAAUUUAGUACCCUGUGAUUUUAUUUUUAUAUUUGUAUUAUCGAUUCUACUAAUUUUUCGUUAAAUCAAUGAUAAAAUUAAAGCUAAAAUAUACUAAAGUGAAUAUUUGAUAAACCUAAAUGAGGUAUUUGAAAUUUUUUUAUAUAAUUUAACGAAAUAUUAACGGAAAAGCUGACGAAAAAAUAAAAAUGAAACCACAGGACACUAACUUGAUACACAUUAAACCACGGGGCACUAAAGUGAGGAGGUGCAAAACCACAGGGGUGGUAUUUAAAGUU
This 411-nucleotide long non-coding RNA is filed under the name Ananas comosus (pineapple). RNAcentral describes it as "long non-coding RNA (ACOM_LNC041659)". The record is from RNAcentral. Lineage: Eukaryota; Viridiplantae; Streptophyta; Magnoliopsida; Poales; Bromeliaceae.